RNAcentral lists this long non-coding RNA (509 nucleotides) under Homo sapiens (human). RNAcentral's name for it is "HSALNT0321962". The record is from RNAcentral. Lineage: Eukaryota; Metazoa; Chordata; Mammalia; Primates; Hominidae.
GAGCAAUUUAAGUGCCAGGAUUCAAAACCAAGUUGAAAGUGAGUGGCAGAAGGUCAAGUCAAAAGUAUUAGGCAUAUGUCAGUGCACAGUUACUAGGAGAGAGCAGGCUUCUGUAAAACCAGGGAAGCACAAUAGGAUUCUGAUGAAGAUCGGAGACAGAGAUCAACUGCCAUGGCCUUUAUACACAAUAUGGUUACAGUCCUGAUGUUGGUUGUGCUGCAUUGUCAUCUGGUGGCUCACUUGGGAGAGAAAAACUGUUCCCAGUCUCAUUAAUCCUAUAUGAAUAGAAAUACAAGGAAAACAUGAUUUAACAGUAGGGAAACAUAAAGAAGAUACAACAAUUUUAUUUCUCCUGGUGAUGUUUCUUUGCAAGUGGCUUUGGUCAAAGAGAAGGUGUCUGCAUAACCCCAUUCUUCCUGGACGUGGUACAAGAACUCGGGACCUGCCAAACAGUGGGCGUGAAAAGAGCUGUAACACUUUCAUGGCUGGCUCACCUAGCUGUGAGUGGG